Molecule: ribosomal RNA, 503 nt
Filed under: uncultured bacterium
Lineage: Bacteria
Description: partial 16S ribosomal RNA
Rfam family: Bacterial small subunit ribosomal RNA
Source: RNAcentral
AUUGAACGCUGGCGGCAGGCUUAACACAUGCAAGUCGAGCGGGGUGAUGGUGCUUGCACUAUCACUUAGCGGCGUACGGGUGAGUAAUGCUUAGGAAUCUGCCUAUUAGUGGGGGACAACAUCUCGAAAGGGAUGCUAAUACCGCAUACGUCCUACGGGAGAAAGCAGGGGAUCACUUGUGACCUUGCGCUAAUAGAUGAUCCUAAGUCGGAUUUGCUAGUUGGUGGGGUAAAGGCCUACCAAGGCGACGAGCUGUAGCGGGUCGUAGAGGAUGAUCCGCCACACUGGGACUGAGACACGGCCCAGACUCCUACGGGAGGCAGCAGUGGGGAAUAUUGGACAAUGGGGGGAACCCUGAUCCAGCCAUGCCGCGUGUGUGAAGAAGGCCUUAUGGUUGUAAAGCACUUUAAGCGAGGAGGAGGCUCUUUUGGUUAAUACCCAAGAUGAGUGGACGUUACUCGCAGAAUAAGCACCGGCUAACUCUGUGCCAGCCGCCGCGGUAA